RNAcentral lists this ribosomal RNA (583 nucleotides) under Heterobasidion annosum. Its description in RNAcentral is "eukaryotic LSU rRNA". It matches the Rfam family "Eukaryotic large subunit ribosomal RNA", at positions 66 to 628 of the family's 3401-position model. The record is from RNAcentral. Lineage: Eukaryota; Fungi; Basidiomycota; Agaricomycetes; Russulales; Bondarzewiaceae.
UAACAAGGAUUCCCCUAGUAACUGCGAGUGAAGCGGGAAAAGCUCAAAUUUAAAAUCUGGCGGCCUCCGGUCGUCCGAGUUGUAGUCUGGAGAAGCGUUUUCCGCGUCGGACCGUGUAUAAGUUUCCUGGAACGGAGCGUCAUAGAGGGUGAGAAUCCCGUCUUUGACACGGACUGCCGAUGCUUUGUGAUGCGCUCUCGAAGAGUCGAGUUGUUUGGGAAUGCAGCUCAAAAUGGGUGGUGAAUUCCAUCUAAAGCUAAAUAUUGGCGAGAGACCGAUAGCGAACAAGUACCGUGAGGGAAAGAUGAAAAGCACUUUGGAAAGAGAGUUAAACAGUACGUGAAAUUGUUGAAAGGGAAACGAUUGAAGUCAGUCGCGUCCGCCGGGACUCAGCCUUGCAUUCUUGCUCGGUGUACUUUCCGGUGGACGGGCCAGCAUCAAUUUUGACCGUCGGAAAAGGAUCGGGGAAAUGUGGCACCUUUCGGGGUGUGUUAUAGUCCCCGGUCGCAUACGACGGUCGGGAUUGAGGAACUCAGCAUGCCUUUACGGUCGGGGUUCGCCCACGUUCAUGCUUAGGAUGCUG